AUGCAACAUGCAUAUAUAUACGCCUGAAGUUCUCCAAGUUACAAAAGUUUACUUAGAGUAUAUUUUUCCUCCGCUUGGAAAUCAUUAAAGAUGAGGAUAGCCGUGUUGCUUCUUCUGUUGUGUCUUCUGUCUUUGGUUAUUGUUGAUCCUGUAGUGGGUCAAGGUGGAUGUGUGAGAAGAUGCAGGAAUAGAGAAUGCUACAGAUACUGCCGACGCAGAGGGUACCUAACUGGAUCCUGUAGACGCUCCAGGUACUGUCCCAGAAGCCGGCCAAGAAGAUGUGGAUGUUAUAUACGGAGACCAAACUAUGGCUAACAUACAAUGACACAUUACCUAACGAAAGAACAGUAUGCCUUGAUUUUGGUUAAAAGAAAUAAAACAAACGUUAUAUUUUAUGUUGUUUUUAAGUACUGAUAUUUAGGUAUAAUAAAUAUUGUUAAUUUCUUUA
Long non-coding RNA from Saccostrea echinata, 448 nucleotides. RefSeq lists it as uncharacterized. The record is from RefSeq and is a predicted model, not a curated record. NCBI's taxonomy places the organism in Eukaryota, Metazoa, Mollusca, Bivalvia, Ostreida, Ostreidae. The transcript is spliced from 2 exons.